This is a long non-coding RNA of Sceloporus undulatus (fence lizard), 1123 nucleotides long. RefSeq lists it as uncharacterized. The transcript is spliced from 4 exons. Lineage: Eukaryota; Metazoa; Chordata; Lepidosauria; Squamata; Phrynosomatidae. The record is from RefSeq and is a predicted model, not a curated record.
UUUGAAUUGUGCCUGGAAACAGACUGGCAGCCAUUAUGAAGUUGUUGCAUCAAGGGAGUUGUGUGUGUGCUCUCUGUACUGUUAGGCUGCAGUUCUUUGGAGCAGCUGGAAAAUAUACAAUAGAAGCAUCAUGUCUGACUUGGGGGGGAACUAGGAACAAUGCAAAGGCUCCCCCAGGCUCUUAAGGGCAAGCUAGUAAAUGUUUUGUGUUUGAAAAUUGCAAUCAUCCUUUUGCUGCUUCUUUUUCAGUUCUGUGUCCUCCUGCCUGCGAAGGAGCCGCCACGGUCUUCAACUGCUCCACCUGCCGCCGGAGAGAUGUGCCCUGCUGGGACCUCAAGACCUGCUACCCGGAGCGAAAAGGCUUACUAAAGGUUGUCACACUUCUGUGCUCCAUUUCUGGCUCCUGCCUCUUCCUGGGACUGGUUUCAUGCGCCUUGGAAUUUUGGCUCCGUCCGGGGAUCGAAACACAGUAGGUGCCCAAACAGGACAAGAAGGAUUCUGCAAUUGCAUCCCCAAGAGAGCUUUCUUCUUUGGCUGAAAGAAUUGGGAAUGUAUACGUGUGGAAAUGUCACAGGUGAUACUGUGGCCAUCGGUUCCAUAAGUUCUCCCUAAAUCAAGAAACUGAAUAGGGCCGUGCUCAAAGAGAGUGUUUGCAAAGGCAUCUGUGAGCAAAAUAAGUGAUGCUGCUUUCAAAAGUGGCACAAAGGUUCACAAGGAAACAUUUAAGUGAAUGCAUAUUGCUGAAUGUGUAAAACUGUGCCGUGGGGAAUGCGUGGCUGCAUGAGGCUAGAUUGCUUCAUGUAUGCAGCUCUUUGCAACGCACUGCAACAUUCCAGGACUAGUUUGUGUUCUGCAUUUCUGCAUUUCUGAUGCAAAAGGCAUUAGCGCCGCUACAUGCGCCUAAUCAACCUCCUGCGUGGGAGGAAAGAAGCAAACGUGUUAACGGACUCAAAGGAAAAGGCCAUACGCAUCAUCUCCCUGGUGCAGCAUGUCAGCAGAGGCGCCAUAACUGUGGAAAAGAGCUCUUAUAUAACAGUCAGCUGCCCUUUGUUUGUGUUGCCUUAUUAAAGGCUGAUUUUAAAACUUCCACUUCCCACAUUUCUCACUUUAGUUGUCACAGAUG